Molecule: long non-coding RNA, 302 nt
Organism: Hypanus sabinus (Atlantic stingray)
Lineage: Eukaryota; Metazoa; Chordata; Chondrichthyes; Myliobatiformes; Dasyatidae
Exons: 3
Source: RefSeq, a predicted model, not a curated record
GCAGGAGACGGCCAGAACAAUGCAAACCGAUUCUGUUUGCUGCCGGUGGCGAAUGGCGUUCCGCUGGAAGCUACCGGACCUCCUGACUUCCUCCAACAUUUUGUGUCUGUGACUCUGCAUCUCCAACAUCUGCAGAAUCUCAUCGGGAUGGAGAGCAGAUUGCAGAGACUACAUCGGGUCUCACUGAUGUCGAGGAAAACCUGGAAAACUGGAAACAGCAGAUGACCCCAACAGGCACGAUGUUGAAAAGUUGCCUCAGAUGGAAGAUCCUCGCAGGUUAUUUUCCAACAACUUGCCCACCA